UACCUACGGGGCGCAGCAGUGGGGAAUAUUGCGCAAUGGGCGAAAGCCUGACGCAGCGACGCCGCGUGAGUGAAGAAGGUCUUCGGAUUGUAAAGCUCUUUGAUCAGGGACGAACAGAUGACGGUACCUGAAGAACAAGCCACGGCUAACUACGUGCCAGCAGCCGCGGUAAAACGUAGGGGGCGAGCGUUGACCGGAAUGACUGGGCGUAAAGGGUGCGUAGGCGGCAUAAUAAGUUAGAAGUGAAAUACCCAGAGAUUAACUCGGGUGCUGCUUCUAAGACUGUUGAGCUUGAGUGCGGGAGG
Molecule: ribosomal RNA, 305 nt
Filed under: uncultured bacterium
Lineage: Bacteria
Description: bacterial SSU rRNA
Rfam family: Bacterial small subunit ribosomal RNA
Source: RNAcentral